Molecule: unclassified non-coding RNA, 155 nt
Filed under: soil metagenome
Description: partial internal transcribed spacer 1
Source: RNAcentral
CAGAGUUAUCCAACUCCCAAACCCAUGUGAACUCAUCUCUUUGUUGCCUCGGCGCAAGCUACCCGGGGCCUCGCGCCCCCGGGCGGCCCGCCGGCGGACAAACCAAAACUCUUGUUAUCUUAGUUGAUUAUCUGAGUGUCUUAUUUAAUAAGUCA